GAUACACGGACCAAGGAGUCUAGCAUGUACGCGAGUCAUUGGGACAUAACUAAACCUAAAGGCGCAAUGAAAGUAAAGGUCCGCCUUGCGCGGACUUAGGGAAGAUGGGCGGUCCUUGUGGCCGCUUCGCACUCCCGGGGCGUCUCGUUCUCAUUGCGAGAAGAGGCGCACCAAGAGCGUACACGCUGGGACCCGAAAGAUGGUGAACUAUGCCUGGUCAGGACGAAGUCAGGGGAAACCCUGAUGGAGGUCCGUAGCGAUUCUGACGUGCAAAUCGAUCGUCGGAACUGGGUAUAGGGGCGAAAGACUAAUCGAACCAUCUAGUAGCUGGUUCCCUCCGAAGUUUCCCUCAGGAUAGCUGGCGCUCGUUGCGCACGAGUCUCAUCCGGUAAAGCGAAUGAUUAGAGGCAUUGGGGUCGAAACGGCCUCAACCUAUUCUCAAACUUUAAAUGGGUGAGAUCUUCGGCUUGCUCGAACUAUUGAAGCCGUAAGACACGGAUCAGAGUGCCAAGUGGGCCAUUUUUGGUAAGCAGAACUGGCGCUGUGGGAUGAACCAAACGCCGAGUUAAAGCGCCUAAAUCGACGCUUAUGGGAUACCAUGAAAGGCGUUGGUAACUUAAGACAGCAGGACGGUGGCCAUGGAAGUCGGAAUCCG
RNAcentral lists this ribosomal RNA (655 nucleotides) under Grynoma cf. fusca complex sp. 2 MB-2019. Its description in RNAcentral is "partial 28S large subunit ribosomal RNA". It matches the Rfam family "Eukaryotic large subunit ribosomal RNA", at positions 656 to 1270 of the family's 3401-position model. Lineage: Eukaryota; Metazoa; Arthropoda; Insecta; Coleoptera; Lophocateridae. The record is from RNAcentral.